This 119-nucleotide ribosomal RNA is filed under the name Bacteroides sp. Its description in RNAcentral is "partial 23S ribosomal RNA". It matches the Rfam family "Bacterial large subunit ribosomal RNA", at positions 2792 to 2925 of the family's 2925-position model. The record is from RNAcentral. Lineage: Bacteria; Pseudomonadati; Bacteroidota; Bacteroidia; Bacteroidales; Bacteroidaceae.
GCCCCCCUCAAGAUAAGAUCUCCAUAUAAGGGUCGUCAAAGACGAUGACGUCGAUAGGUCGCAGGUGCAGAGGCGGUAACGUCUAUAGCCGAGCGAUACUAAUCACCCAAACCCUUUCC